UCCCGGUUGGCCCGGGCAGUCUCGCAUGAAAAAUUUAACAUACGACAAGGGUUGCGCUCGUUGCGGGACUUAACCCAACAUCUCACGACACGAGCUGACGACGGCCAUGCAGCACCUGUCACCAGGUUCCCGAAGGCACUCCACUGUUUCCAGCGGAUUCCUGGGAUGUCAAACCUCGGUAAGGUUCUUCGCGUAGCGUCGAAUUAAACCACAUCAUCCUCUACUUGUGCGGGUCCCCGUCAAUUCCUUUGAGUUUUAAUCUUGCGAUCGUACUCCCCAGGCGGCAUACUUAACGCGUUAGCUUCUCUGCACAGGGGGUCGAUACCCCAUACAAAUAGUAUGCAUCGUUUACGGCGUGGACUAC
Molecule: unclassified non-coding RNA, 364 nt
Filed under: uncultured bacterium
Lineage: Bacteria
Description: contains 16S-23S intergenic spacer region
Source: RNAcentral